RNAcentral lists this ribosomal RNA (468 nucleotides) under uncultured bacterium. RNAcentral describes it as "partial 16S ribosomal RNA". It matches the Rfam family "Bacterial small subunit ribosomal RNA", at positions 28 to 507 of the family's 1533-position model. The record is from RNAcentral.
GACGAACGCUGGCGGCGUGCUUAACACAUGCAAGUCGAACAGAAAGGCCCUGCUUUUGUGGGGUGCUCGAGUGGCGAACGGGUGAGUAACACGUGAGUAACCUGCCCUUGACUUUGGGAUAACUUCAGGAAACUGGGGCUAAUACCGGAUAGGAGCUCCUGCUGCAUGGUGGGGGUUGGAAAGUUUCGGCGGUUGGGGAUGGACUCGCGGCUUAUCAGCUUGUUGGUGGGGUAGUGGCUUACCAAGGCUUUGACGGGUAGCCGGCCUGAGAGGGUGACCGGCCACAUUGGGACUGAGAUACGGCCCAGACUCCUACGGGAGGCAGCAGUGGGGAAUAUUGCACAAUGGGCGGAAGCCUGGUGCAGCAACGCCGCGUGCGGGAUGACGGCCUUCGGGUUGUAAACCGCUUUCGCCUGUGACGAAGCGUGAGUGACGGUAAUGGGUAAAGAAGCACCGGCUAACUACGUG